RNAcentral lists this ribosomal RNA (459 nucleotides) under uncultured bacterium. Its description in RNAcentral is "partial 16S ribosomal RNA". It matches the Rfam family "Bacterial small subunit ribosomal RNA", at positions 338 to 795 of the family's 1533-position model. The record is from RNAcentral.
CCUACGGGAGGCAGCAGUGAGGAAUAUUGGUCAAUGGGCGCUAGCCUGAACCAGCCAAGUAGCGUGAAGGAUGACUGCCCUAUGGGUUGUAAACUUCUUUUAUAUGGGAAUAAAGUGCAGUAUGUAUACUGCUUUGCAUGUACCUUAUGAAUAAGGAUCGGCUAACUCCGUGCCAGCAGCCGCGGUAAUACGGAGGAUGCGAGCGUUAUCCGGAUUUAUUGGGUUUAAAGGGUGCGCAGGCGGCCUGUUAAGUCAGCGGUAAAAGCCCGGGGCUCAACCCCGGCGAGCCGUUGAAACUGGCGGGCUGGAGUUGGAGAGAAGUACGCGGAAUGCGCGGUGUAGCGGUGAAAUGCUUAGAUAUCGCGCAGAACCCCGAUUGCGAAGGCAGCGUACCGGCUCCACACUGACGCUGAGGCACGAAAGCGUGGGUAUCGAACAGGAUUAGAUACCCCAGUAGUC